ACGUAGGGUGCAAGCGUUAAUCGGAAUUACUGGGCGUAAAGCGUGCGCAGGCGGUUAUAUAAGUCAGAUGUGAAAUCCCCGGGCUCAACCUGGGAACUGCAUUUGAGACUGUAUAGCUAGAGUACGGUAGAGGGGGAUGGAAUUCCGCGUGUAGCAGUGAAAUGCGUAGAUAUGCGGAGGAACACCGAUGGCGAAGGCAAUCCCCUGGACCUGUACUGACGCUCAUGCACGAAAGCGUGGGGAGCAAACAGGAUUAGAUACCCUGGUAGUCCACGCCCUAAACGAUGUCAACUAGCUGUUGGGGCCUUCGGGCCUUAGUAGCGCAGCUAACGCGUGAAGUUGACCGCCUGGGGAGUACGGUCGCAAGAUUA
Molecule: ribosomal RNA, 371 nt
Filed under: uncultured bacterium
Lineage: Bacteria
Description: bacterial SSU rRNA
Rfam family: Bacterial small subunit ribosomal RNA
Source: RNAcentral